UAGAGUGAUAAUACUCCGGUUUCGGCCCGGACAAAGAUAUUUUAUAUAUCCACCCUGU
Molecule: transfer RNA, 58 nt
Filed under: Paraleonnates uschakovi
Lineage: Eukaryota; Metazoa; Annelida; Polychaeta; Phyllodocida; Nereididae
Description: tRNA-Arg
Source: RNAcentral